GGACGCAAGAGAAAGAGAGAGAGAGAGGCCGCUGAGGACACGACCUUAUGUCAGAGGACUCUUUCUUCCCACCCUCUACACCCCAGUGAAGAUCCAGCCGUAUCAGCUGCUGUUUGUACAAAUAUCAGCAAAACGCUGGAGCGGUAACACUAAACCUCUUCCCCGGCCGUUCCUCUGAGUUGAACUUAAGUGUCUGAAACAGACAAUUGUUUGAGCUUGUAGCAUUUUUCCCUACAAACUGCAGCCAUUAAUGUCUGAAUGCCAGGAUUUGCACGCAAUAAGGUCUGGGUUAAUACAGCUGAACUCCUGAAUUUUUUAUAGACUGUUAUCAGGGAGCAGCUGUUUUCUAGUUGAGGAGCAUUAGACAUCUGCUGCACAAUCAUUCUACUGAUCAACAACAGCUUUUUAGUGUAUUUGUGCAUAAAAAUUAAACAACAACAUUGUGCUUUUGUGAAGUGUGCCUCACACAGGUGAGUGGACUUGACAAACCACCUGUGGAUACACU
Molecule: long non-coding RNA, 505 nt
Filed under: Danio rerio (zebrafish)
Lineage: Eukaryota; Metazoa; Chordata; Actinopteri; Cypriniformes; Danionidae
Description: si:ch211-285e16.9 (ENSDARG00000097466.2)
Source: RNAcentral